CUACGGGCGGCUGCAGUGGGGAAUAUUGGACAAUGGGGGAAACCCUGAUCCAGCAAUGCCGCGUGUGUGAAGAAGGCCUGCGGGUUGUAAAGCACUUUCGGUUGGGAGGACUGCUUCUAGCACUAAUAUUGUUGGAAGUUGACGUUACCUUCAGAAGAAGCACCGGCUAACUCCGUGCCAGCAGGCCGCGGUAAUACGGAGGGUGCAAGCGUUAAUCGGAAUUACUGGGCGUAAAGCGCGCGUAGGCGGCUAGAUCAGUCGGGUGUGAAAGCCCCGGCUUAACCUGGGAACUGCAUCCGAUACUGUCUAGCUUGAGUACAGGAGAGGAGAGUGGAAUUCCACAUGUAGCGGUGAAAUGCGUAGAUAUGUGGAGGAACACCAAUGGCGAAGGCAGCCCUCUGGCCUGAUACUGACGCUGAGGUGCGAAAGCGUGGGGAGCAAACAGGAUUAGAUACCCCCGUAGUC
RNAcentral lists this ribosomal RNA (465 nucleotides) under uncultured bacterium. RNAcentral's name for it is "partial 16S ribosomal RNA". It matches the Rfam family "Bacterial small subunit ribosomal RNA", at positions 339 to 795 of the family's 1533-position model. The record is from RNAcentral.